This 74-nucleotide transfer RNA is filed under the name Syntrophomonadaceae bacterium. Its description in RNAcentral is "tRNA-Gln". It matches the Rfam family "tRNA". Rfam says of the family: Transfer RNA (tRNA) molecules are approximately 80 nucleotides in length. The record is from RNAcentral. Lineage: Bacteria; Bacillati; Bacillota; Clostridia; Eubacteriales; Syntrophomonadaceae.
UGCGGGAUGGUGUAGCGGUAGCACCCAUGACUCUGGAUCAUGUUGCCUAGGUUCGAAUCCUAGUCCCGCAGCCA